UACAGAGGGUGCGAGCGUUGUCCGGAAUCACUGGGCGUAAAGGGCGCGUAGGUGGUGGCUUAAGCGUGCGGUGAAAGCUCGGGGCUCAACCCCGAGUCGGCCGUGCGAACUGGGCUCACUGGAGCAUAGUAGAGGCAGGUGGAAUUCCGGGUGUAGCGGUGGAAUGCGCAGAUAUCAGGAGGAACACCGGUGGCGAAGGCGGGCUCUGGCCGUACUGACGCUGAGGACGAAAGCGUGGGGAGCAAACAGG
Molecule: ribosomal RNA, 250 nt
Filed under: uncultured bacterium
Lineage: Bacteria
Description: partial 16S ribosomal RNA
Rfam family: Bacterial small subunit ribosomal RNA
Source: RNAcentral